Non-coding RNA from Peromyscus maniculatus bairdii (prairie deer mouse), 1225 nucleotides. The record is from RefSeq and is a predicted model, not a curated record. Lineage: Eukaryota; Metazoa; Chordata; Mammalia; Rodentia; Cricetidae.
UACUCAGUAUCAUACCCUCUCCUCCCUGGCCCUCAGAGUGCAGCUGUCGGCAGUUGGGGAGAAAAAGAGGAAGUCCAGGAACCAUGUAAAUAAGCAUGGCCUUUGACUUCUGAACCUGCACCGCUUAGUGGGUCUUCGAGCACAGCAUCAUCUUCUUCCUCAGGCAAGAAACUGUAACCACCUUUCACGAAUUCCCAGGUCCUCUGGGCAGACAGAGUAAAAAUCUUAGGCUCCAGCGUCCUGGAUCUUGGCAGAGGAAGGGACCUCAGGAGAUGCUUCAAGUGGGAUGAUUUACCCAGUCAUUGCUAGUGAACAAUCAAAGUCGCGCUAGGACCAAGUUCUGACCUGGCUACCUACCCCAAGACCGUAUUCAUAACACACAGUCAGCCACACACAAAAUUGACAUUGACGCUAACAGUGCCAUAAUCAUCAGACAGGUUGCCGAUUCUGAGGUCUCAACUGUGCCAGCCAACAGGCUCCGCUGCCUGUUAACCCAUCGUGUUCCCUGUUGCCUUCUCCUCUCUCCAUCCUCAAAGACUCUAGGACCCUGGCUCUAAUAUGCCCUGCAAGCGGCCGGUCCCUGGACUCCGAGAGAAGACGCUCCCUACCUGUAGGCGGGGAGACUGGCGAUGACACGCAGGCGGUGCAGCCUGGCUUGUGACAGAAAAUCAGCGAGUCCCCUAGCCUUAUAAGCAGGCCCCGCCCACUGGUGUGAAAACCCUGCCCACAUCGCUUCUGGAACCGAAGCCGAAGCCCAGCCCCAUAAACAGCCUGUCCCACUGGAUUUCUAGAUGAUUUCAGAGUCAACUUUGGGAUAAGAUAUUGCGUUUACAGAAGGACGAAACUGGAGUCCAGCGUGGUGACGCGCGCCUUCAAUCCCACUACUCCGAGAUAGAAACAGACUUUUAUUUUCCCAUGAUGUGGAUCAUGCUCCUUCACGAAACUGGUGUCCUCCAGAAGCAGAAAAGCAGGACGUGACUUUAAUUUUAAAAAAUUAUUUUAUCAUUUCAAAAUAUAUUGUGUAAGUCAAAAUAGCCUAAGUAAGGGAGAAGUAGCCCUGAAAAUGAUUUGAGUUUUGUGAUUUGGACAAAGUGAAUAGAGAAACAUUCAGACAAGAGAAACGCAGUGGCUAGCGGAGGUUGAAGAGUGGAACACACUGGUCAUCUCUAAUGUCACCAUUGCCUGUUCAUAUCCCACCUACCCUACUCCUCUGGGGGAGAUAAAA